Non-coding RNA from Pelobates cultripes (western spadefoot toad), 66 nucleotides. Lineage: Eukaryota; Metazoa; Chordata; Amphibia; Anura; Pelobatidae. The record is from the annotation of a GenBank genome assembly.
UAAGCUUGCAAUGUUAACAUUGCAGUUUCUAAAAAAAAAACUGCAAUGUUUUACAUUGCAGGGUUA